UACGAGAGGUGCAAGCGUUGUUCGGAAUGACUGGGCGUAAAGAGCACGUAGGCGGGUCUGUAAGUCAGAUGUGAAAGCCCUGGGCUUAACCUAGGAACUGCAUCUGAAACUGUGGAUCUUGAAUGCUUGAGAGGUUGGUGGAAUUCCAGGUGUAGGAGUGAAAUCCGUAGAGAUCUGGAGGAACACCGGAGGCGAAGGCGGCCAACUGGCGAUGCAUUGACGCUGAGGUGCGAAAGCGUGGGUAGCAAACAGG
RNAcentral lists this ribosomal RNA (253 nucleotides) under uncultured bacterium. RNAcentral's name for it is "partial 16S ribosomal RNA". It matches the Rfam family "Bacterial small subunit ribosomal RNA", at positions 524 to 776 of the family's 1533-position model. The record is from RNAcentral.